GGAUUGCCCUAGUAACGGCGAGUGAAGCGGCAACAGCUCAAAUUUGAAAUCUGGCCCUUGGGUCCGAGUUGUAAUUUGUAGAGGAUGUUUUUGGUGCGGUAUCUUCCGAGUUCCUUGGAACAGGACGCCUUAGAGGGUGAGAGCCCCGUACGGUUGAAUGCCUAGCCUUUGUAAAACUCCUUCGACGAGUCGAGUAGUUUGGGAAUGCUGCUCUAAAUGGGAGGUAAAUUUCUUCUAAAGCUAAAUACUGGCCAGAGACCGAUAGCGCACAAGUAGAGUGAUCGAAAGAUGAAAAGCACUUUGAAAAGAGGGUUAAAUAGCACGUGAAAUUGUUGAAAGGGAAGGAUUUAUGACCAGACUUUUUCUGGGCGGAUCAUCCGGUGUUCUCACCGGUGCACUUCGCUCAGUUUAGGCCAGCAUCGAUUUUCGGUGGGGGAUAAAAGCUUUAGGAAUGUGGCUCCUCCGGGAGUGUUAUAGCCUAUUGUAUAAUACCCUACUGGGGAUCGAGGUACGCGCUUCUGCAAGGAUGCUGGCGUAAUGGUUAUCAAUCACCCGUCUUGAAACACGGACCAAGGAGUCGAACAUUUGUGCAAGUGUUUGGGUGUUAAACCCUCACGCGUAAUGAAAGUGAACGGAGGUGAGAGCCCUUACGGGUGCAUCAUCGACCGAUCCUGAUGUUUUCGGAUGGAUUUGAGUAAGAGCAUAACUGUUCGGACCCGAAAGAUGGUGAACUAUGCGUGGAUAGGGUGAAGCCAGAGGAAACUCUGGUGGAGGCUCGCAGCGGUUCUGACGUGCAAAUCGAUCGUCAAAUCUGCGCAUGGGGGCGAAAGAC
Molecule: ribosomal RNA, 832 nt
Filed under: Discosia celtidis
Lineage: Eukaryota; Fungi; Ascomycota; Sordariomycetes; Amphisphaeriales; Sporocadaceae
Description: partial large subunit ribosomal RNA
Rfam family: Eukaryotic large subunit ribosomal RNA
Source: RNAcentral